AUCCAUCUGACGAGUCUCAAAUAGGACGAAACGAGAGUUGAACUGGAU
Schistosoma mansoni is the source of this 48-nucleotide non-coding RNA. The record is from Rfam. NCBI's taxonomy places the organism in Eukaryota, Metazoa, Platyhelminthes, Trematoda, Strigeidida, Schistosomatidae.